Molecule: ribosomal RNA, 252 nt
Filed under: uncultured bacterium
Lineage: Bacteria
Description: partial 16S ribosomal RNA
Rfam family: Bacterial small subunit ribosomal RNA
Source: RNAcentral
UACGAAGGGGGCUAGCGUUGCUCGGAAUCACUGGGCGUAAAGGGCGCGUAGGCGGCCGAUUAAGUCGGGGGUGAAAGCCUGUGGCUCAACCACAGAAUUGCCUCGAUACUGGUUGGCUUGAGACCGGAAGAGGACAGCGGAACUGCGAGUGUAGAGGUGAAAUUCGUAGAUAUUCGCAAGAACACCAGUGGCGAAGGCGGCUGUCUGGUCCGGUUCUGACGCUGAGGCGCGAAAGCGUGGGGAGCAAACAGG